This 1330-nucleotide long non-coding RNA is filed under the name Eutrema salsugineum. RNAcentral describes it as "long non-coding RNA (ESAL_LNC001299)". The record is from RNAcentral. Lineage: Eukaryota; Viridiplantae; Streptophyta; Magnoliopsida; Brassicales; Brassicaceae.
CUAGGUCUAGGACUAGACUUGGUACAUGGAGGCGUGCAUGCGCGGACUGCGGCAUGUGGCGCUGAAUCAUGAUCGGAAAGGACACUUGGCCGACACGUGGCUGAACCAAGGUCGGCGAACUGCGGCUAUAAAUAGGACCCGAAACCAUAGUUUCGAAUCAAACCUGAAAAACUUAGAAAAACUUAAGAGGAAGAGAGAUAGUCCGAUAAGAGCUUACCGUGUUCGACCGGAGUGCUGAGCAAGAAAGUUUAGCCGAUAGAAGUAGCUGAGUCAGGUGGAUUUCGGUCUGAGUUUGGCGAUAAACGGGAGAACGCCCGGGAAACGUCCGUCAAGGAAAAAGGUGAGUUCCGGUAGAUAGGAACUAAUGAUUUUGUGCAGGGAACCAUGGAUCGGUCUAGGCGAGACUGUAUUCCACGGUUAUAAGUAGAUUGUGUGAAUGCUUGCUAGGUAUAAGCCAUUGUUUGGGGGUGGGAACCUAAACCGUUAUACUUAAGUAAGAAAAUUAUAUAACCUCGAAAACAUUAAGCUAGUAGGAACUUGAACGUUAAAAGAAAUAAAACCAAGGCAUAUGAUAAAGGGUUCUAUGCUGGGUUAAGGGUAGGCUAUACUUAAAACGAUUAUGAAUUGUAAAGUAUUGUUUAAAAAGGGCGGCCGUGAGGGGACUAUGGUCACCACGGGUCGUUGGCUAAUAAAACGAUGUAGAUAGAGGUUGCGGGUAACCGUUGAACCUAAAUGAUUGUGUGCAAGCCACAGAAAGAUUCAGUAGAAUCUGUGGUAUGGUUAUGGCGUGAACCACAGAAAGGUUGGUAGAACCUUGUGGUGUGUUAGGACACAAGCCCAGAGACUCGGAGGGAUACUUGGGUCGCUCCCAUGGCCGAGUGCUGCAUGACGAUGCGGCCUGACUGGUCGAGAAGGAAGGACCGCGAAGUCGGAAGCAAGUCCGGUUCAUGUGCCUGAGUGGCUAUGAAUAGUGGGGCUUGCCGGGCUAGGAGGUGUCAUUAGCUACAUGCUGUAAGGCAUGUUGGGUUGGGAGCCCACCUGUUCGGUAAUGUUAUGUGAUAUUGUAGCUUCCGCUGUAGCAUUUGGUUGAUAGCUGUUCCGUGAAACUUAUGUGCGACUCAUUGUGUUUGUUGCCUUCCCCUGUUUGAUGUGCUUCGGCUAUCUGGGGUGGGAUGGGGAAUUAACGUGUUUAGCAGGGCCUGGACUCAUUGGGCAUUUUAUAGAAAUGCUCAAUAUACGUUUUUGUCUCGCAGGAAGCCGUAGACAAAUUUAGAAGGGAAGGCAUCGGACAUUAGGAGUGCUGGAGUAGUUUUACGGUGGGAUUGUAAAG